GACGAACGCUGGCGGCGUGCCUAAUACAUGCAAGUUGAGCGCUGAAGGUUGGUACUUGUACCGACUGGAUGAGCAGCGAACGGGUGAGUAACGCGUGGGGAAUCUGCCUUUGAGCGGGGGACAACAUUUGGAAACGAAUGCUAAUACCGCAUAAAAACUUGAAACACAAGUUUUAAGAUUGAAAGAUGCAAUUGCAUCACUCAAAGAUGAUCCCGCGUUGUAUUAGCUAGUUGGUGAGGUAAAGGCUCACCAAGGCGAUGAUACAUAGCCGACCUGAGAGGGUGGUCGGCCACAAUGGGACUGGGACACGGCCCAAACUCCUACGGGGGGCAGCAGUAGGGAAUCUUCGGCAAUGGACGAAAGUCUGACCGGGCAACGCCGCGUGAGUGAAGAAGGUUUUCGGAUCGUAAAACUCUGUUGGUAGAGAAGAACGUUGGUGAGAGUGGAAAGCUCAUCAAGUGACGGUAACUACCCAGAAAGGGACGGCUAACUACGUG
RNAcentral lists this ribosomal RNA (497 nucleotides) under uncultured bacterium. RNAcentral describes it as "partial 16S ribosomal RNA". It matches the Rfam family "Bacterial small subunit ribosomal RNA", at positions 28 to 507 of the family's 1533-position model. The record is from RNAcentral.